GCUUGUCUCAAAGAUUAAGCCAUGCAUGUCUAAGUUUAAACUGCUAAACUGUGAAACUGCGAAUGGCUCAUUAAAUCAGUUGUAGUUUAUUUGAUGGUACCUUACUACUCGGAUAACCGUAGUAAUUCUAGAGCUAAUACGUGCGCACAACCCGACUUCUGGAAGGGUCGUAUUUAUUAGAUAAAAGGCCAGCCGGGCUUCGGCCUGACUCGCGGUGAAUCAUGAUAACUUCACGAAUCGAAUGGGCUUGUCCCGUCGAUGCUUCAAAUAAGCUUCUGCCCUAUCAACUUUCGAUGGUAGGAUAUUGGCCUACCAUGGUGGUAACGGGUGACGGAGGAUUAGGGUUCGAUUCCGGAGAGGGAGCCUGAGAGAUGGCUACCACAUCCAAGGAAGGCAGCAGG
This 401-nucleotide ribosomal RNA is filed under the name Chlamydomonas reinhardtii. Its description in RNAcentral is "partial small subunit ribosomal RNA". It matches the Rfam family "Eukaryotic small subunit ribosomal RNA", at positions 30 to 432 of the family's 1831-position model. Lineage: Eukaryota; Viridiplantae; Chlorophyta; Chlorophyceae; Chlamydomonadales; Chlamydomonadaceae. The record is from RNAcentral.